UCGGGGUAUGGCGCAGCUUGGUAGCGCGCUUCGUUCGGGACGAAGAGGCCGUGGGUUCAAAUCCCGCUACCCCGACCAA
Molecule: transfer RNA, 79 nt
Filed under: Corynebacterium amycolatum SK46
Lineage: Bacteria; Bacillati; Actinomycetota; Actinomycetes; Mycobacteriales; Corynebacteriaceae
Description: tRNA-Pro
Rfam family: tRNA
About the family: Transfer RNA (tRNA) molecules are approximately 80 nucleotides in length. Their secondary structure includes four short double-helical elements and three loops (D, anti-codon, and T loops).
Source: RNAcentral